CUGGCGGUCUGCUUAACACAUGCAAGUCGAACGGAGUAGAAAUACUAGUGGCGGACGGGUGAGUAACGCGUGAGAAUCUGCCUUCAGGACGGAGACAACAGUUGGAAACGACUGCUAAGCCCCGAUGAACCGAAAGGGAAAAUAUUUAUAGCCUGAAGAUGAGCUCGCGUCCGAUUAGCUAGUUGGGGGGGUAAAGGCCCACCAAGGCGACGAUCGGUAGCUGGUCUGAGAGGACGAUCAGCCACACUGGGACUGAGACACGGCCCAGACUCCUACGGGAGGCAGCAGUGGGGAAUUUUCCGCAAUGGGCGAAAGCCUGACGGAGCAAGACCGCGUGGGGGAAGAAGGCUCUUGGGUUGUAAACCCCUUUUCUCUGGGAAGAAAGUUGUAAAGCAACCUGACGGUACCAGAGGAAUCAGCUCGGCU
This 426-nucleotide ribosomal RNA is filed under the name uncultured bacterium. RNAcentral's name for it is "bacterial SSU rRNA". It matches the Rfam family "Bacterial small subunit ribosomal RNA", at positions 36 to 498 of the family's 1533-position model. The record is from RNAcentral.